UUCAUUUUUUUUCUAUGUAUCUUCGUUUCUUUUCUCUGAUACUCUUAGUAUUUCCACGAAUUUCAAUGCCAACAUGUCUUUUUUCUUUACUUUUCUUUCAUUUUUGUUUUGUGUAGUUCGCAAUUGAAGAAAUUAUUAUCUUUGAAAUAGUUAAUAAAGUACUCAAGCAUUUGAAUAUAGGUUGAGAAAUAAGAAUUAAGUUUUUAUGGUUUUUUGUGCUGUUGAAGAAUGGGAAUAUAUGUUGCGCCAAAGAUGUUUGACAAAUUGCCUGACCCAGUUUUGAACUUUUAAAGAUUCAACAGGAAUUAGUUCUUUUUAAUCUUUCUUUUCUUGGUUUGACAUUUUGCCUGGGCGGCCUUUUCUAAUGAAUUAGUGAAUUUGAAGUGUUAGGUUUAUUGUUCAAAGCUCACUCAAAACAUAUGAUUAUUCAAGUUCAUCCUCCUUGCAAACAACUGGGUUGCUCAUUUUUCAAUCCCAUUAUCUACUUCCUGUGUCAAGGAAGUCAUUCUGCAUUAUAACAUUUUUUAACAUACUUAAAUGAGGAUCCAUCAAUAAUACUUAUUUGGGCAAUGGAAAGGCUUCUGUUGAUAUUGUAACUUCACUUGUCUAUGAUGAGGAUUAGCUCAAAGUUAGGGAUAGGGAAGACGCAGAUGGGUCAGUGAAGUGGUUUGUAGCUUUUUGUGUUCGAUAAAGUUUCGUUUCAAUGAAUGUCAUUUUGUUAGGAGCCAAAAUGCUUGUAUACAAAGUAGUUCUUUUUGUUUUGUCAGAUCCUUGUUGCAAAAUUCAUACCAUUCCAAGAACUAAGAUUUAAGGUACAAAUCUAUGGUCUUUUGUAACUUGUGUUCUUUCCACUGGGUAUUUUGGCAACUGGGACCUAUUUUGGCAACUGGGUAUUUUUUCCCAACGUGAGGUCACUGGAUUUUAUCCUGCCCUUCUUGAGAGGAAAAAUGAGCUAGAAGCGGAGAUUCGGGAAUUUUUUACAGAUGAAGUGACGAUGAAAUUUGAGUCUGAAAAUUACACGUUUGAUGUUUAUGUUAGAAAGGAUGGGCAGGUUAAGCUUUUGGAUUUUAACCCUUGGGGUGCAUUUACACUGCCACUGCUGUUUACAUGGGAGGAAUUGGAGCAAAAUUUUAAUGAAAAUGGUAAUACUUUGGAGUUUCGAAUAGUAGAGAGCCAGUGUGGAGUACAGCCCGGAUUAAAAACUGCAGUUCCUUACGAUUACUUAGACACCAGUCCAGGGAGUGGUUGGGAUCAAUUCCUGAGGAAUGCUGAUGAGGAGUUGCAACUCUAGAUUCAGUCCUCUGGCAAAGGUGAUUAAGGAUUUUGUUUUCCCCAUUUCUGAGAUUGGUCAGGACUUGGUGCGCACAUCAAAAAUCAGUGACUUGCUUGACAUUUUCCAGCGAUAAUUCAUUUCUUAUUUCUGGUUCAGAAGAUGGCAUGAUCAUUAUUUGGCCUAUGAUCGGGUAAAAAAAGUGAAUCUUCGUUUCUUCAACAAUUUAAUGUUUGUAUUUGAAUGUCGUUUAGUUUUAUUUUUCAGGAAAAAUAAAUAACUGACUUUGUAAUCACAUUGUUUGGUGGAAGUUUGGUAGACGAGAUAGAUUGUUGGACUGUGACUUUAAAACUAAAUUUUUCGUUGGAGCUUUCAUCCUCUAUAACAGGCCUAUUAACUACAUCAAGUGGCUCAAGUUUAAUAUUUUUAUCAAGCUCCCUCGAUGGCACAUGCAAGGUAUGGAACCUUGUUACUGGAAGACUUUUACAAACUCGAGCUUUUCCACUACCAAUUACUGCAAUAGUUGUUGAUCCAACAAAGAGAAGUUAUUUUCUGCUGGUAUAGAUUACUAGUGGAUAUUUCUUUUUUGUAUACGGAGGACAUCAUUUUUGUAUGAUUAUCUGCUUGUAUGGAAUUAUUAUUUUGGGUUGGAUUAUAUUUGGUUUGUAUAGAAUUUGAUGUUACAAGACCAAAUUUUUAGAUGGUUGAAAGUGAAAUAGAAAUAGACAUAUGUAUUGUUUUGUUUA
This is a non-coding RNA of Camellia sinensis, 2016 nucleotides long. Lineage: Eukaryota; Viridiplantae; Streptophyta; Magnoliopsida; Ericales; Theaceae. The record is from RefSeq and is a predicted model, not a curated record.